ACGGGUGAGUAAUACAUCGGAACGUGCCCAGUAGUGGGGGAUAGCCCGGCGAAAGCCGGAUUAAUACCGCAUACGACCUACGGGUGAAAGCGGGGGAUCGCAAGACCUCGCGCUAUUGGAGCGGCCGAUGUCAGAUUAGCUAGUUGGUGGGGUAAAAGCCUACCAAGGCGACGAUCUGUAGCUGGUCUGAGAGGACGACCAGCCACACUGGGACUGAGACACGGCCCAGACUCCUACGGGAGGCAGCAGUGGGGAAUUUUGGACAAUGGGCGCAAGCCUGAUCCAGCCAUGCCGCGUGCGGGAAGAAGGCCUUCGGGUUGUAAACCGCUUUUGUCAGGGAAGAAACGGCCUGAUCUAAUAAAUCGGGCUAAUGACGGUACCUGAAGAAUAAGCACCGGCUAACUACGUGCCAGCAGCCGCGGUAAUACGUAGGGUGCAAGCGUUAAUCGGAAUUACUGGGCGUAAAGCGUGCGCAGGCGGCUUUGCAAGACAGAUGUGAAAUCCCCGGGCUUAACCUGGGAACUGCAUUUGUGACUGCAUGGCUAGAGUGCGGCAGAGGGGGAUGGAAUUCCGCGUGUAGC
This 581-nucleotide ribosomal RNA is filed under the name proteobacterium RDB-186. RNAcentral's name for it is "bacterial SSU rRNA". It matches the Rfam family "Bacterial small subunit ribosomal RNA", at positions 102 to 679 of the family's 1533-position model. Lineage: Bacteria; Pseudomonadati; Pseudomonadota. The record is from RNAcentral.